GGAUGAACGCUGGCGGCGUGCCUACUACAUGCAAGUCGAGCGAACGGACGAGAAGCUUGCUUUUCUGAUGUUAGCGGCGGACGGGUGAGUAACACGUGGAUAACCUACCUAUAAGACUGGGAUAACUUCGGGAAACCGGAGCUAAUACCGGAUAAUAUUUUGAACCGCAUGGUUCAAAAGUGAAAGACGGUCUUGCUGUCACUUAUAGAUGGAUCCGCGCUGCAUUAGCUAGUUGGUAAGGUAACGGCUUACCAAGGCAACGAUGCAUAGCCGACCUGAGAGGGUGAUCGGCCACACUGGAACUGAGACACGGUCCAGACUCCUACGGGAGGCAGCAGUAGGGAAUCUUCCGCAAUGGGCGAAAGCCUGACGGAGCAACGCCGCGUGAGUGAUGAAGGUCUUCGGAUCGUAAAACUCUGUUAUUAGGGAAGAACAUAUGUGUAAGUAACUGUGCACAUCUUGACGGUACCUAAUCAGAAAGCCACGGCUAACUACGUG
RNAcentral lists this ribosomal RNA (498 nucleotides) under uncultured bacterium. RNAcentral describes it as "partial 16S ribosomal RNA". It matches the Rfam family "Bacterial small subunit ribosomal RNA", at positions 27 to 507 of the family's 1533-position model. The record is from RNAcentral.